RNAcentral lists this ribosomal RNA (2015 nucleotides) under Salpingoeca prava. RNAcentral describes it as "LSU rRNA". It matches the Rfam family "Eukaryotic large subunit ribosomal RNA", at positions 81 to 1898 of the family's 3401-position model. The record is from RNAcentral. Lineage: Eukaryota; Choanoflagellata; Craspedida; Salpingoecidae.
UAGUAACGGCGAGUGAAGCGGGAAGAGCUCAAAUUUGAAAUCUCCGGGGGCAGCCCUGGCGAAUUGUAGUUUAAAGAAGCGUUUUCAGUGGUGGGCUGCGGGUCUAAGUUGCUUGGAACAGCACAUCAGAGAGGGUGAGAAUCCCGUUCUGGCCUGUGGUCUGCUGCAUUACGAUACGUUUUCGACGAGUCGGGUUGUUUGGGAAUGCAGCCCAAAAUGGGUGGUAAAUUUCAUCUAAGGCUAAAUAUUGGCACGAGACCGAUAGCGAACAAGUACCGUGAGGGAAAGAUGAAAAGUACUUUGAAAAGAGAGUCAAAAGAACGUGAAACCGUUAAAAGGGAAACGAUUGAAGCUAGCAGUGGGCUGUUGCCAAUCAGCCGUGGGUAUGUUGGGUGCGUGGGCAGUGGCAGCGCAAGCGUCACGUCUGUGUAGCCUGGUGUGUCUGCGGUGUACUUGGCGAUGGCCCGAGCCAACAUCGGUUGCUGGAGGCCAUGGGUUUCCUGGGGAAAGGUAGCUGGAGCGUGCGCUUGUCGUGCCUGCAGUGUUACAGUCCCUGGGGGUGAUGUGGCCGCGGCGACCGAGGCGGACGCAGUGCGUGCUCUUUAUUGGGCUACGGGCUCUUGUGCUGGGCUGGGACAUGUGCCGAGACUGCGUGCAGUGGCGGUGUGUGCCUCCUGGUCCACAGCGGGAAGUCUGAUAUACGCGCUUCGGAUGUUGGCGAAAUGGCUUUAACUGACCCGUCUUGAAACACGGACCAAGGAGUCUAACAUAUACGCGAGUCGCUCGGGUGGCAAACCACGGAGGCGAAAUGAAAGUAAAGGCGGGCUCGGCCUGCUGAGGUGAGAGCCGCCCCGCGAGGGGCGGUGCAUCAUCGACCGAUCUGGAUAUUCCUUGAAAGAUUUGAGUAAGAGCGUAUCUGUUGGGACCCGAAAGAUGGUGAACUAUGCCUGAAUAGGGUGAAGCCAGAGGAAACUCUGGUGGAGGCUCGUAGCGGUUCUGACGUGCAAAUCGAUCGUCGAAUUUGGGUAUAGGGGCGAAAGACUAAUCGAACCAUCUAGUAGCUGGUUCCCACCGAAGUUUCCCUCAGGAUAGCUGGAACUUUGACAGUUUUAUCAGGUAAAGCGAAUGAUUAGAGGCCUUGGGAGUUGAAACAACCUCAACCUAUUCUCAAACUUUAAAUAGGUAAGAAGUCCGACUUGCUUAAUUGAAGCCGGGCACUGAAUGUGAGUUCCAAGUGGGCCAUUUUUGGUAAGCAGAACUGGCGAUGCGGGAUGAACCGAACGCAGAGUUAAGGUGCCUAAAUCGACGCUCAUCAGAUCCCACAAAAGGUGUUGGUUGAUAUAGACAGCAGGACGGUGGCCAUGGAAGUCGGAAUCCGCUAAGGAGUGUGUAACAACUCACCUGCCGAAUCAACCAGCCCUGAAAAUGGAUGGCGCUUAAGCGUCGUACCUAUACUCUGCCGUUGGCGCAAAUGCGAGGUGCCAACGAGUAGGUGGGCGCGGGGGUUGUGACGAAGCCUUGGGCGUGAGCCCGGGUUGAACGGCCCCUGGUGCAGAUCUUGGUGAUAGUAGCAAAUAUUCAAAUGAGAGCUUUGAAGACUGAAGUGGAGAAGGGUUCCGUGUGAACAGCAGUUGGACACGGGUGAGUCGAUCCUAAGAGAUAGGGGAACUCCGUUUUAACGUGUGCGAUUUUUGUCGCGCCGCCUAUCGAAAGGGAAUCGGGUUAAUAUUCCCGAACCGGAACAUGGAUUUUUACUGCGGCAACGCAACCGAACUCGGAGACGCUGGCAGGAGCCCUGGGAAGAGUUCUCUUUUCUUUUUAACAGACCUACUGACCCUGAAAUCAGAUUGCCUGGAGCUAGGGUUAGAUGGCUGGUAAAGCAGCACGCCUUUGUUGCUGUCCGGUGCGCUCCUGACGGCCCGUGAAAAUCCGAGGGAGAGAAUGAUUCUCAUGUCCGGCCGUACCCAUAACCGCAGCAGGUCUCCAAGGUGAACAGCCUCUAGUUGAUAGAACAA